This is an RNA transcript of Xyrauchen texanus (razorback sucker), 4179 nucleotides long. It is a transcript of the gene named ADAM metallopeptidase domain 23a, with no coding region annotated. The record is from RefSeq and is a predicted model, not a curated record. The transcript is spliced from 27 exons. NCBI's taxonomy places the organism in Eukaryota, Metazoa, Chordata, Actinopteri, Cypriniformes, Catostomidae.
CCACCGCCUUUCAUCCACCCGUGCUGCCACCUCUCGCCUUCUUACCAGUCCUCCCCACCCCUCAGCAUCCCAACCGCGUUACCCUCCCUCAGUCUCCGAUGCUGCAUGAAAGAUUUCUCUCUCUUCCCACGGGAAACGCGAAAAAAAUCCAGUAUUAAUUGACGCUCGCUGUAAAUUAACGCGCUAAUGCCUUCAAAUAUGAAUCAUGCGUCUGAUAUUCCAUCUGUGUCUGCUCGCUAGCAUAUUUAUUUCCGUGCUGUCUUCAAUCGCCUCAACCUUAACUGUUUCCAGCUCCGUGCAGUAUGAGGAUCUCAGGGAUCAGCACGUGUCUGAGACCCCGCAAGAAGCGACAGCAUCAGCAGCGCCGGACAGUUUCACGCGAAAAUUGAGUGAGCACGAGGUCACAAUCACCUAUCCCUCGCGGCUCAUCUACUACUUAAAUGAGGAAUUGGAAAGCGCGUGUCAUGAUCUGGACACUCGCGCGCGGUACCAAGCUGGCGAUGGACAGGAAGUCCACCUUGCCCAAGCAAGUUUCCAGCUCGAAGCCUUUGGCUCCACAUUCACUUUGGACCUUACUUUGAACAAUGAUCUGUUGUCUUCAGACUACAUGGAGAUCCACUAUGAAAAGGAUAAGCCAGUUCUCUCCAGGGGUGGGGAACACUGUUACUACCAUGGCCAUGUAAGAGGAAAAGAGGAGUCCCGUGUAGCUCUAUCCACCUGCAAUGGGCUUCAUGGGAUCUUUGAUGAUGGUAAUUUUACUUAUAUCAUCGAACCUAUGAAACAGACUCACACAGAGGAAACAGAGGCUCGUCCCCACACUUUGCAACGCACAUCAUCACUCCAUAUGACCUCUGUCCCAGAUGUCUGGGCUGCUGAUGACCCAGUUGAAAAAGAUGAAAAAGAAGAGGAGAAAUUGAUUUUUGCUAACAUGCCUUGGCUGAAGAGAAGAAGGAAAAGAGCUAUGCCACGUAACAUUUUUGAGGAAAUGAAGUAUUUGGAAAUAAUGAUUGUCGCUGACCACAACACGUUUAAAAGGCAUAAGAGUAAAAAGCAUACCCGGAACUCGGCCAAAUCAGUGGUCAACUUGGUAGACGCUAUUUUUAAGGAGCAGCUUAAUACUCGGGUAGUUUUGGUUGGUGUUGAGAUUUGGACAGACAGGGACCGGAUUCCGCUACGUGUGAAGCCACUGGAAAUGUUAAGAGAUUUUUCAAAGUACCGACAACAAAACAUCAACAUAAAUGCUGAUGCUGUGCACCUUUUCACGAAUGUGACAUUUCAUUAUGGUCGGAGCAGUGUUGCAUAUAUUGGUGGUGUAUGUUCCAAAGGUCGAGGAGUCGGUGUCAAUGAGUUUGGCAGCACAUGGACAAUGGCUGCCUCUCUCUCUCAGAGCUUAGCACAAAAUCUGGGUAUCCAGUGGGAUCCUGUGAUCAGGAGAAAGGAGUGCGGCUGCAUGGAUUCAUGGGUGGGAUGUAUAAUGGAAGACACUGGAGUGCAACACCCACGCAGGUUUUCUAAAUGCAGCAUCACUGACUACAGAAACUUCCUUUUAAGAGGGGGUGCUUCAUGUCUGUUCAACAAACCCAGCAAGCUUUUUGAGACUACAGAAUGUGGGAAUGGUUAUGUGGAGGUGGGAGAGGAAUGUGACUGUGGGGCCCGAACGGAAUGCUAUAAAGACUGUUGUAAAAAGUGUUCUUUAUCUAAUGGAGCUCACUGCAGUGACGGCCCCUGCUGCAACGGCACGUGCCUGUUUUAUCCUCGGGGAUACAGCUGUCGAUAUGCCGUGAAUGAUUGUGACAUAUCAGAGACUUGUUCAGGAGACUCGGGACAGUGCCCCCCUAAUCUUCAUAAACAAGAUGGCUACCCUUGCCAGCUUAAUCAGGGCCGAUGUUAUAGUGGUGAAUGUAAGACCCGGGACAGUCAGUGCAAAUACAUCUGGGGUCCAAAGGCUGGAGGUUCAGAGAAGCACUGCUAUGAGAAGUUAAAUACAGAGGGGACAGAUAAAGGAAACUGUGGGAGAGAUGGAGACAAAUGGGUCUCCUGCAGCAAACAUGAUGUAUUCUGUGGGUACCUACUCUGCUCCAAUAUUGGUAGAAUUCCAAAGAUUGGGACUCUGAAAGGUGACAUCUCUCCCACCACAUUUAACCAUCAAGGGCGACUGGUGGACUGCAGUGGAGGUCAUGUGCUGUUGGACGAUGACACUGAUCUAGGGUAUGUGGAAGACGGUACACAGUGUGGCCCCUCUAUGAUGUGCCUUGAGCGGAAAUGUCUGCCCAUCUCCUCCCUAAACCUCACAGUGUGUCCGUCUGGCCCCAGCGGACGCGUCUGCUCUUCACACGGCGUGUGCAAUAAUGAAGCAACAUGCACAUGUGAUUCUACCUGGGCAGGGACUGACUGCAGCAUGCACGACCCCCCAAAAGUGCCACCUGUCAUCGAGGACCCGGGUCCCAAGGGUCCUAGCGCCACCAACCUUAUCAUAGGCUCCAUCGCAGGAGCCAUCCUGAUGGCAGCCAUAGUGCUGGGGGGGACGGGAUGGGGAUUUAAGGUGAGAGUUUGAGCGGAGAGGGGUGGAGGUUGUGUCGUAGGCAGCCUUUGUGCCAUGGCUGGCUGCCACGCCCUCUUAUCUCCCGGAAGGCCCUGGGCCCCCCUGAAAUCCUAGAACAGAGCAAGAGCCCUCACCUCCCACCCGGACUCGCCCGGCACCGCUGCCUUUACUGCCUGCUUCACAGAGAUCUGAAAUGUCAAGAAAAGACGAUAUGACCCUAACGCCAGUGCCAUCUAAAGGCUAAGAGAACUGCUUCCUUGCCUAGCGCACCAUUGGGUUCUGUCAGAACCUGCUGGACUGUACCCUGUUCUGCUGCUAACACCGCUGCUGACAGUGUUAGCAUUACUUGACUAAAAAAAAGGAAAGCGAGAGAAGAUAGAGACAGAACGAUUGAACAUUUUUCAUCUGAAGUCAUGUAGAACUGCUUCUUUAGAGCUGACCCUGUUCCUUUGCCUACUGUCCCUGUGCAUCCACACUGAGCCAUUAGUAACCCAGAUAACUGACUGAGUGGAUGGUACCCACGGAGGACUCCACUCAUCGGGGCAUGACUUCCUGUUUAACGUGCCCUGACCUCUGGCUCCAAUUUUGGCAUGACCAGCUUCAGUGGACCUCGCAUGGCAGAGGAGGGACACCAAUCCAAGAAGAACAUAAAAAUUAAUACUGUAAAACAUAACGAUUUGGAGAAAAAUGUGUAUCAGAAUAGUGACAUAGGUCACUUCCAGUAGGUGGGUAACACAUUCCAUGAGUGUUUUGAAGGGCUGAAUAGACUUGACCACUGAGAUAAGAGAGAUUCAUAUCUUCUUCAGACAAACAUUUCAAGGCAUUAAUUUAAAGUUUGUUAUUUUAGCAUGUUAAAUUGCAGGCAUUUAUGUAGUAUUAAUAAAAACAAAGAAAAAAUGGAUCCAUUUGGCCAGCAGCGUAUAGUGCUGCAUAACAAAAUCAGCUUUAAAGUCUAGUGCUGUGGAGACACAGACUCUUACAUCUACCUGAUGACGUCAAUUGCGGUUCCCCUUAAAAAAUAACUAUUACACUGGCUUGGCUCUGUAGGACUGCCCUGACUUAAAUGCUGUUGCUGGCCAAUCAGAGAGCUGCAUGAUGUAAUUGCACUGGGGUGGAGCCACACAGCCUGCUGCGCUUUUCAAGGUAUCUGCAUGUCAAAGGAAAAACAGUUAACAUUUACUUACUAUGCAAAGGGGAAACAUUGCACAAACCGUAAGGUUUGGUGAAGAAUUCUCAAGUGAGACUUAUGGAUCAUUAAUAAAGCAGUUUUUUAUAUGCUCGGCCAUCUAUGUUUGACAUUAUUAUAAGCUUCUGAUUACUUAAAAUGAAUGUUUCUAUGAAAAUUUCAGCUUCUUAAAUUAAAAUAUCAUCGUCAUCUGUGUGGGACAGCAUAAUUUAGGCAGUAAUUGAUAUAAAUAUAACGGGAAUAUUGAAGUAGAGGGAGCUCUAAUUUUGGGCAAUGCUAAUGAAAUAUGAGCAGAGAGAGAGGGGGUGUUUUUCUAUGUCAUCACUGAUCUACACCAUCAGGUUUUCAACUUAUCUUCUUAACCUUGGCCCAUUUUACAACCAUCUCAUGUUCCCAUGGAAACAUUGCCAAAAAUAUAAAAAAUAAAUAAAUAAUGAUAAUAAAGAACUUG